Molecule: unclassified non-coding RNA, 242 nt
Filed under: Basidiomycota sp.
Lineage: Eukaryota; Fungi; Basidiomycota
Description: partial contains small subunit ribosomal RNA, internal transcribed spacer 1, and 5.8S ribosomal RNA
Rfam family: Eukaryotic small subunit ribosomal RNA (bases 1-47)
Source: RNAcentral
AAAGUCGUAACAAGGUUUCCGUAGGUGAACCUGCGGAAGGAUCAUUAUUGAAAUAAACCUGAUGGGUUGUUGCUGGUUCUCUAGGGAGCAUGUGCACGCCUUGUCAUCUUUAUAUCUCCACCUGUGCACCUUUUGUAGACCUUCUAGGUCUAUGUUGCUUUUUCAUUUACUCCAAUGUAUGUUAAUAGAAUGUUGUGACUAUAAAAUCUAUACAACUUUCAGCAACGGAUCUCUUGGCUCUC